Molecule: long non-coding RNA, 598 nt
Filed under: Lepidothrix coronata (blue-crowned manakin)
Lineage: Eukaryota; Metazoa; Chordata; Aves; Passeriformes; Pipridae
Description: lncRNA (ENSLCOG00000002270.1)
Source: RNAcentral
UUGGGGUCUGCGGGAGCCAGAAAAUGCGUGCAGACACCCACCUGGCUUUUUGGGGGAGAGAGGGAGGAGCCAAAGUGUCUGUGGGAUAUUUAAAGUCUUCAGUAAAGAUCUUCAGUGAGUUACCUACUAUGGGAGUCAGGAUAUCAGCAGCCUCCAAAGUCUGUAAAGGCUGGCAUGGGACAGAGCACCGUCGAGGAAGCCGUGUCAGGAACACUCACCUCUUGACACCACUGCUAAUAGGUGGUUAUUACAGCCCAUUGUGCUGAGAGCGGAGGUCUGGCUCUGACAGCUGCUCCAGUGACAAAGUGGUUUUACCUCACCUAAAAAUCGUAAGCAUCACGAACCUUUAAAAUACUCCUCUGACUUUCCUAUUUUAAAUUAAAUAUCGUUGUAAGUUUAGUAAGUUAUAAAAAGGAUAUGAUUACAUAAAACCAGCAUCACCUUGGUAAGAGAUUUAUUAUUAAAUGUAGUUGCAUCCUGUGUCUGCAACUACAGGAUGAUGUAAAAUAAGUGUGAAUGCAGAUGAACUGACUGGCUUUGAAUAUUUUUGUACGCUGAGCAAAUUGUUAAUUUACAUUAGUGGGGAAUCUGGUUCAUG